Long non-coding RNA from Zeugodacus cucurbitae (melon fly), 608 nucleotides. RefSeq lists it as uncharacterized. NCBI's taxonomy places the organism in Eukaryota, Metazoa, Arthropoda, Insecta, Diptera, Tephritidae. The transcript is spliced from 3 exons. The record is from RefSeq and is a predicted model, not a curated record.
UUAAUUUGUAUGAUCGCCAAUUUCACAUCUCAAAUCGUCGAUAAAUGUACGAAAUGUCGCUAUUGAGGAAAUCUUUUAAUAUUUAUAAAUACUUAAGAACGUUUUCUGGUAUUGCUUUAUUGAAAACUAGUGCAAAUGAGCAAAUUCCUUUCUAUAAAAGUCACACAUUGAGUCGAUUUGUUCGAAGCUAUACAAGACAUAAAUUCACCGAAAUUAGUUCAAUGGAAAUACUACAGCAAGAGCAUGGAUGUUGAGACUUGAACGGUGCCAUGUUAGAUUUAGAAUUCCUGAAACAUAAGAAACCCUCCUCCCAGAUGAAUCUAGUACUACUGAAAUUAAUGAAAGAACAGAUCUUAUAAAAACUCCGAAAGAAACCAAAAGAGUCCUCACAUAAUGUGCGCAGCUUACACUUCCAGACCGCACGGGGUAUUUGACAUUUUCCACUCUUCCUCCAGCAUUUGUCCGAUAGCAAAAAUUGUUCAAAUAUUCAUUUUCACCUCCUUUAUACAUAUAUAUAUAGUGUACUACGAUAAUAUAUUUAUAAAGUAAAUAUAAUAAUAAACAACUAAAUGGCAUGAUAUUUUAAAUAAAUAUGUAAUAUAAUUAAU